Puntigrus tetrazona (Sumatra barb) is the source of this 3127-nucleotide RNA transcript. It is a transcript of the gene named NGFI-A binding protein 2 (EGR1 binding protein 2), with no coding region annotated. The record is from RefSeq and is a predicted model, not a curated record. The transcript has 8 exons. NCBI's taxonomy places the organism in Eukaryota, Metazoa, Chordata, Actinopteri, Cypriniformes, Cyprinidae.
CACACAGAGCGCUUUAAACGAGCAGCAGCCACUCAGCGUCUGAGGCGCCGGGGAAUCCCGCUGCUCGCGCCGCGUCACCGAGCCCGAUCACCGCCCACAGACCCGGUGAUCUCCGGCGCUCUUCCACGCGAACGCCGACUUCACUCCCGUCCGUCCGUGCACCGAAUCCGCCACGCUGUUCAGCAUCUAAACGGCCGGCUUUCCCCCCCGUGCAGACCCUGAGCUCAAACGGUGACAGAAUUCCCCGUCCCUCCACGCCCCUCCGCGAGCGGCGCUUCCCCCCGCGCUCAGACCGGAGAGGAAGGCUCUUAUUCGGUCAGAUGGCGUGCCGCAGUCCGCCCACGCGUUUCUCGCGCCCACACGGGCAGCGAAAGGAGCGUCAUUAACUCACCGCCACUGCCAGCGCAGCAGAAGCACAGAGUUUCAAGAACAUUUCAGUCCAGGCGCACAUCUGUAGAACAAGGUCUAACAAGCACAGAGAACAAAAAUAAACCGGGCGUCGGAGGCGCAGAGACACGGGGGUUUUUAACAGAAGGGAAAGUUUGACUCGGUCGCCGGGAGCUCAAGCGGUCUGCCGGAUCCCGUCCUGGAUUCUGUCCUGAAACCUCUCGAGCCGCGCAUCGGGAUGUCUCUUCCGCGGACGCUGGGCGAGCUCCAGCUCUACCGAGUUUUACAAAGGGCCAACCUGCUGAUGUACUACGACACCUUCAUCCAGCAGGGCGGCGAUGACGUCCAGCAGCUGUGCGAGGCGGGCGAAGACGAGUUCCUGGAGAUCAUGGCCCUGGUCGGCAUGGCCACCAAACCCCUGCAUGUGCGGCGUCUGCAGAAGGCUCUGCGCGACUGGGCCGCAAACCCGGCGCUGUUCAACCAGCCUCUGGCCGCCAACGUGGCCCCUUGUGGGAUCCCUCUCCUUCGGAUCGACUCCGCAGGCUCGGGGGGCGCUGGGGGCAGAAAGUGUUUAAGCAACGGUCAGCCGGGCUCUCCGGGAGAAAGAGAGGAAGUGGGAUCUUGCCUCACGCCGCUCAGGGAUAACAGUCCGAAGAGCCCGUGCUCGCAGGCUUCUCCUGUACCUCCUGACCAUCUGUACCGAGAAAAACUGUCCCCCAUGGACCCCCACUGGCUCAGUCCGGAGAUGUACGGAGCCGUCGAGUUAGAUGAAGAUCAGCCCAUUACCCCUCUGCCUUUCGCUUGCCACUCGCGUCUCCUCGGUCCUCCGACGCCGACGUCUUCUUCGUCCUCCUCCACUAUGACCUCUCCGUGGCCCGGGGGUCAGCUGGACCCGGAGACCAUCAAAGCCGUGGAGGAGAGCGUCGAUAGGCUGCUGAGAACCAUGCCGCAAGCUGACCAAACCGAGGUGAAGACGCUUUUGAGGCUCAAUAAGAAAAUGGCCAAGACGGUGGGACACAUUUUCAACCUGGAGCCUCAGGACAGGAGCAAAGAGGAAGAGAUUCGCAAGUACAGCCUGAUCUACGGCCGCUUUGACUCCAAGAGGAGGGAAGGGAAACAGCUCACCCAUCAUGAGAUGCUCAUCAACGAGGCGGCGGCUCAGUUCUGCAUCCGUGACAACGCUCUGUUGUUACGUAGAGUCGAACUCUUCUCUUUAGCGCGGCAAGUGGCGAGAGAAUGUGCCUACACGUCAACGUUUAAACAUAACAGGACAUACUCAGAUGAUUGCACUGCCUCUGUUGACUGUUCUGCUCAGAAGAGACUCAAGCUUGAUGUCACAGAUUCUGACAGACUGUGUAAGGAUCCAGUAAUCAACAGUGACAACAGAUCUACAGCGGAUGACAACAGCCUCUCUGGAGAAAGUCUGGAUAGUUUAACACAAGAUAUCAGCCCUCAGUUGCACCCCUCCUCAUCCCCUCACCCCCUCACCGACACUGCUGGCCUCAUCAACUGGAGCCGCCAGCUCAUGCAGCAAACGCUCAUGGAUGAGGGCCUCAGAUUGGCUAGAAUGGUGUCACGUGACAACGCGAGCAAAGUCAGCCUAGGGUCAGAAAAGAGACAAAUUUCAGUGGAACAGUUCUCCUUCGAGCCAUCCGGUAUGCAGAGGAACGUUUCUUUAUAGGAACACGGCGUUGGAUCCUUUGCAGUGAAUGGGUGCCGCCAGGAGUCCAAACAGCUGAUAAAAACAUGACAAUAAUCUACUCUACACUGCAGUCCAAUCCAUCGGUAAUGGGUUGUGAAGUGAAAAGUUCAAACAAAUCCCUUGUUAGGACGUUUCGACUUUAAACAUCUCCUCCUGGUUAAAAUGGGAGUCCAUAAUCCAGAUGGAGGAGAAGGUGUCAGAGAGGAGAGGAUCAAGUAACAGAAGCAGCAGUCCAGCAAACACCAAAGACGAUCCGUAACUGACAUUCUGGAAGUCUCCAUGUUGAACUCAGGUUGGAUGUCAUGUCUAAAUGCAGCCGCGGUGUUCGGUUCGCUAUGGUCUGUGAAGCUUUGAAGACUUGUCUGCACCUUGCCGUGUUCUUUUAGAGCAUUUAAGGGCGUUUGUGGAAAGUUAUUGUAUCUUUGCGAACGAAAUUUGAAGCAACGUCGUGUUACAAAUACAUUCCGUGUUCUCUGUCGGGUUAAAAUGUCAGUGAAAAGCUUCAAUGGUGCUAAUUUUGUGUCGAGCUAAUUCUAGAACGAAUCUGUGUUACCUAAACCUUAAUUUAUUCGGUCAGAUGACCUGCUUCUCGUUCUAAGCGGAGCUGGGAGACUUUGGGUUUACUUUUCAUUCCAUUUUCUCAGUUUCUUGUUUAGAUGGAGUUCUAAGAAAGGUUUGGGAGGAACGUGUUUAUUUAAUCCACUUUAUUAUGUACAGCGAGCGAAAUACGUUUACAGGUUUUGGAUUAUAUUAACAUGUGAAAUCCUGAAAUCGACUAUAUUAAGAAACCCUUACACUAGCAACGCACCGAUGCAGUAAACAUGAAUACAGCAACUCUAAAAUGCACAGAUGAGUUUUCUUGGGUUACAAAAUGUAAAUGAUUCAAAUGAUUCAAACGAAUCGAAUGAACGUUUCAAGGUUGAAUGGCUAAUGAGAACAGCAUUACAGCGCUCAUGUUAAAAAUAGAUCUGUGGCCUCUUUAAUGACAGAUUAUUUAUUUUUUAAUUUCUCAAUAAAUUAUAUUGUAUUGUUUCUCUA